GACGAACGCUGGCGGCGUGCUUAACACAUGCAAGUCGAACGGAAAGGCCCUGCUUUUGUGGGGUGCUCGAGUGGCGAACGGGUGAGUAACACGUGAGUAACCUGCCCUUGACUUUGGUAUAACUUCAGGAAACUGGGUCUAAUACCGGAUUGGAUCUCCUGCUGCAUGGUGGGGGUUGGAAAGUUUCGGCGGUUGGGGAUGGACUCGCGGCUUAUCAGCUUGUUGGUGGGGUAGUGGCUUACCAAGGCUUUGACGGGUAGCCGGCCUGAGAGGGUGACCGGCCACAUUGGGACUGAGAUACGGCCCAGACUCCUACGGGAGGCAGCAGUGGGGAAUAUUGCACAAUGGGCGGAAGCCUGAUGCAGCAACGCCGCGUGCGGGAUGACGGCCUUCGGGUUGUAAACCGCUUUCGCCUGUGACGAAGCGUGAGUGACGGUAAUGGGUAAAGAAGCACCGGCUAACUACGUG
This 468-nucleotide ribosomal RNA is filed under the name uncultured bacterium. RNAcentral describes it as "partial 16S ribosomal RNA". It matches the Rfam family "Bacterial small subunit ribosomal RNA", at positions 28 to 507 of the family's 1533-position model. The record is from RNAcentral.